AGUGAACGCUGGCGGUAGGCCUAACACAUGCAAGUCGAACGGCAGCACAGUAAGAGCUUGCUCUUACGGGUGGCGAGUGGCGGACGGGUGAGGAAUACAUCGGAAUCUACUUUUUCGUGGGGGAUAACGUAGGGAAACUGACGCUAAUACCGCAUACGACCUACGGGUGAAAGCAGGGGAUCUUCGGACCUUGCGCGAUUGAAUGAGCCGAUGUCGGAUUAGCUAGUUGGCGUGGUAAAGGCCCACCAAGGCGACGAUCCGUAGCUGGUCUGAGAGGAUGAUCAGCCACACUGGAACUGAGACACGGUCCAGACUCCUACGGGAGGCAGCAGUGGGGUAUAUUGGACAAUGGGCGCAAGCCUGAUCCAGCCAUACCGCGUGGGUGAAGAAGGCCUUCGGGUUGUAAAGCCCUUUUGUUGGGAAAGAAAAGCAGCAGGUUAAUACCCCGCUGUUCUGACGGUACCCAAAGAAUAAGCACCGGCUAACUUCGUG
RNAcentral lists this ribosomal RNA (492 nucleotides) under uncultured bacterium. RNAcentral's name for it is "partial 16S ribosomal RNA". It matches the Rfam family "Bacterial small subunit ribosomal RNA", at positions 29 to 507 of the family's 1533-position model. The record is from RNAcentral.